RNA transcript from Nannospalax galili (Upper Galilee mountains blind mole rat), 607 nucleotides. It is a transcript of the gene named 60S ribosomal protein L19 pseudogene, with no coding region annotated. NCBI's taxonomy places the organism in Eukaryota, Metazoa, Chordata, Mammalia, Rodentia, Spalacidae. The record is from RefSeq and is a predicted model, not a curated record. The transcript has a single exon.
GCUGCGGCCACAGCCAUGAGUAUGCUCCAGCUUCAGAAGAGGCUUGCCUCUAUAGUGUCCUCCGCUGUGGCAAAAAGAAGGUCUGGUUGGACCCCAAUGAGACCAAUGAAAUUGCCAAUGCCAAUUCACGUCGGCAGAUCCGGAAGUUGAUCAAAGAUGGGCUGAUCAUCCGGAAGCCUGUGACUGUCCAUUCCAGGGCUUGAUGCCGGAAAAACACCUUGGCUCGCCGGAAGGGCAGGCAUAUGGGCAUAGGUAAGCGGAAGGGUACUACCAAUGCUAGAAUGCCUGAGAAGGUGACUUGGAUGAGAAGGAUGCGGAUUCUGCGAAGGCUUCUCAGGAGAUACCGUGAAUCGAAGAUUGACCGCCACAUGUACCAUAGCCUGUACCUGAAGGUGAAGGGGAAUGUGUUCAAAAACAAGCGGAUUCUCAUGGAACACAUCCACAAACUGAAGGCAGACAAGACCAGCAAGAAGCUCCUGGCUGACCAGGCUAAGGCUCGCAGGUCUAAGACCAAAGAAGCAUGCAAUUGCUGUGAGGAGCACCUCCAGGCCAAGAAAGAGAUCAUUAAGACUCUGCUCUGUCCAAGGAGGAAGAAGCUAUGAAAUGA